This 334-nucleotide unclassified non-coding RNA is filed under the name Hevea brasiliensis (rubber tree). Lineage: Eukaryota; Viridiplantae; Streptophyta; Magnoliopsida; Malpighiales; Euphorbiaceae. The record is from RNAcentral.
UGUGGAUGAAGUUUGGUCUGAGAUGCAUAGGAAGCAGGAGCAGGAGCAGGAGCUACAGAACCAAGGACAGGGCCACAGUAAUGGUAAUAAUAUGCAGAAUAAUCCUGAGUCUGCAGCUCCUUGGCAGCCAACUUUUGGUGAGAUGACAUUGGAGGAUUUUCUGAUCAAGGCAGGGGUGGUAAGGCAGCAGUGUCCUGCAGCUUCAGUACCACGGCAACAACAGCAGUACGGGAUGUACCAAAGCAACAAUAACAAACCUGUCAUGGGGAUUUCCAGGCCGGUUUUGGGAAUUGGCAGCGGAAGUGGUGUGGGUGCUGUUAGUUACCAGACAAUG